ACAUCCAGAGAAUUUAGCAGAGAUGCUUUAGUGCCUUCGGGAACUCUGAGACAGGUGCUGCAUGGCUGUCGUCAGCUCGUGUUGUGAAAUGUUGGGUUAAGUCCCGNAACGAGCGCAACCCUUAUCCUUUGUUGCCAGCACGUAAUGGUGGGAACUCAAAGGAGACUGCCGGUGAUAAACCGGAGGAAGGUGGGGAUGACGUCAAGUCAUCGUGGCCCUUACGAGUAGGGCUACACACGUGCUACAAUGGCGCAUACAAAGAGAAGCGACCUCGCGAGAGCAAGCGGACCUCAUAAAGUGCGUCGUAGUCCGGAUUGGAGUCUGCAACUCGACUCCAUGAAGUCGGAAUCGCUAGUAAUCGUAAAUCAGAAUGUUACGGUGAAUGCGUUCCCGGGCCUUGUACACACCGCCCGUCACACCAUGGGAGUGGGUUGCAAAAGAAGUAGAUAGCUUAACCUUCGGGAGGGCGUUUACCACUUUGUGAUUCAUGACUGGGGUGAAGUCGUAACAAGGUAAGCGUAGUGCU
RNAcentral lists this ribosomal RNA (526 nucleotides) under uncultured bacterium. RNAcentral describes it as "bacterial SSU rRNA". It matches the Rfam family "Bacterial small subunit ribosomal RNA", at positions 984 to 1509 of the family's 1533-position model. The record is from RNAcentral.